AUUGAACGCUGGCGGCAUGCCUUACACAUGCAAGUCGAACGGCAGCACGGGUGCUUGCACCUGGUGGCGAGUGGCGAACGGGUGAGUAAUACAUCGGAACGUACCUUAUCGUGGGGGAUAACGCAGCGAAAGCUGUGCUAAUACCGCAUACGCCCUGAGGGGGAAAGCGGGGGAUCGAAAGACCUCGCGCGAUUAGAGCGGCCGAUGCCUGAUUAGCUUGUUGGUGGGGUAAAAGCCCACCAAGGCGACGAUCAGUAGCUGGUCUGAGAGGACGAUCAGCCGCACUGGGACUGAGACAAGGCCCAGACUCCUACGGGAGGCAGCAGUGGGGAAUGUUGGACAAUGGGGGCAACCCUGAGACAGCAAUGCCGCGUGAGUGAAGAAGGCCUUCGGGUUGUAAAGCUCUUUUGUCAGGGAAGAAACACCGGCUCUAACACAGUCCGGGAAUGACGGUACCUGAAGAAUAAGCACCGGCUAACUACGUGCCAGCAGCCGCAGUAA
RNAcentral lists this ribosomal RNA (501 nucleotides) under uncultured bacterium. Its description in RNAcentral is "partial 16S ribosomal RNA". It matches the Rfam family "Bacterial small subunit ribosomal RNA", at positions 29 to 523 of the family's 1533-position model. The record is from RNAcentral.